Molecule: ribosomal RNA, 577 nt
Filed under: uncultured bacterium
Lineage: Bacteria
Description: bacterial SSU rRNA
Rfam family: Bacterial small subunit ribosomal RNA
Source: RNAcentral
ACGGGUGAGUAACACGUAGGAAUCUGCCUUGAAGAGGGGGACAACCCGAGGAAACUCGGGCUAAUACCGCAUAAUUUCUGAGGAAGAAAGGCUGGGUAGUAAUACCUGGCGCUUUAAGAGGAGCCUGCGUCCGAUUAGCUAGUUGGUUAGGUAAAGGCUGACCAAGGCGAUGAUCGGUAACUGGUCUGAGAGGAUGACCAGUCACACUGGGACUGAGACACGGCCCAGACUCCUACGGGAGGCAGCAGUGGGGAAUCUUGGACAAUGGGGGCAACCCUGAUCCAGCGAUGCCGCGUGUGUGAAGAAGGCCUUCGGGUUGUAAAGCACUUUAGUUGGGGAGGAAGGCUAGUAGUUUAAGAGAUGACUAGUUUGACUGUACCCAAAGAAUAAGCACCGGCUAACUCUGUGCCAGCAGCCGCGGUAAUACAGAGGGUGCAAGCGUUAAUCGGAAUUACUGGGCGUAAAGGGCGCGUAGGCGGUCAUGUAAGUUGGAUGUGAAAUCCCUGGGCUUAACCUAGGAACUGCAUCCAAAACUGUGUGACUAGAGUGCGGUAGAGGGUAGUGGAAUUUCCGGUGU